GACGAACGCUGGCGGCGUGCUUAACACAUGCAAGUCGAACGGAAAGGCCCUGCUUUUGUGGGGUGCUCGAGUGGCGAACGGGUGAGUAACACGUGAGUAACCUGCCCUUGACUUUGGGAUGACUUCAGGAAACUGGGGCUAAUACCGGAUAGGAGCUCCUGCUGCAUGGUGGGGGUUGGAAAGUUUCGGCGGUUGGGGAUGGACUCGCGGCUUAUCAGCUUGUUGGUGGGGUAGUGGCUUACCAAGGCUUUGACGGGUAGCCGGCCUGAGAGGGUGACCGGCCACAUUGGGACUGAGAGACGGCCCAGACUCCUACGGGCGGCAGCAGUGGGGAAUAUUGCACAAUGGGCGGAAGCCUGAUGCAGCAACGCCGCGUGCGGGAUGACGGCCUUCGGGUUGUAAACCGCUUUCGCCUGUGACGAAGCGUGAGUGACGGUAAUGGGUAAAGAAGCACCGGCUAACUACGUG
This 468-nucleotide ribosomal RNA is filed under the name uncultured bacterium. RNAcentral describes it as "partial 16S ribosomal RNA". It matches the Rfam family "Bacterial small subunit ribosomal RNA", at positions 28 to 507 of the family's 1533-position model. The record is from RNAcentral.